Molecule: long non-coding RNA, 1738 nt
Filed under: Polistes fuscatus (common paper wasp)
Lineage: Eukaryota; Metazoa; Arthropoda; Insecta; Hymenoptera; Vespidae
Description: uncharacterized LOC122518510
Source: RNAcentral
AAUUGUUAACGCGCAUAGGAGAAGAUAAAGAAUAUGUUGUUGAGAAAUUUAUCGAGAACGCAAACAAGUAUUAAAUAUCAAAUGGGACCAUAUUUUUGCCAAGCUAUUUUGUUUAGAUGAAAAAACAGUAGCGACAUUAAUGGAACACAAUAAAAUAAAAUAAAAAUAAAAUAUAGAUAUAUUUAAUUUUAUCCAGGCGUCGUUGGUAAAUUGAAAUUUAUUAGAGUUAGCUUUUUUCAAAAGGCACAUUCCGAUUGGCAGCCACGUUCUUUAGAUCGUCCAAUCAAAGCAAGCGACACAAACAGUAGCAUCGUCUUUUCUUUUUGUUGACGCAACAUGUUUCUCUCUUUCUCUCUCUCUCUCUCUCUCUCUCUUUCUUUCUUGCUAAUUUUAGCAAGUCUUACUACCCGCUUCAUACUCGACCUCGAUCGUGUUCGCACGCUUUCAACUACAUGCGUGUAUUUUAAGGUGGAAAAAAGUAUUAUAGACGAUGACGAGGAAAGUAAAAUUUAGCAUCUCUAAAUUCGAUUUUAAUAUUCAUUUUUGAUCUCACCUAUAACCGUGUUAAAUUUCUUAAUAUUUUGAUAUCAUAUUUCUUUUUUUUUCUUACGUCUUUUCAUAGUGAUUUACAAUAUACAAAUUUACAAUUUACAAUCAACAAAUACGUAUUAUUUAGUGUUUUAAAAAAAAAUUAUUAAAAUUACCCUAUCGAUAAUCAUUAUCAACAGAAACGUUACCUACUUUUCCUACAUUUUAAUGUCUGAGUAUCAGGGAUAACCCGCAGAUGGCACUACAUGGUAAAAUCUGAACGGCCAUUAGUAUUUUUUGAAAAGAUGUCGGGUAAUAUGGAUUGAGCGAAGAAGACGAUUUAAUCUUUUGAAUAUCAUCUAAUUCGUCAAGGAAGGUCAAGGUAAUGUUGAGAAUCAAGAAGAGAUAGUUUCAACGAAGUUAAAAGCAUUUUAAAUUAAAAACUUGGAAGAUACCGGAAGUGAUUAAUCAUAUCCUAUCUGAAGAUAAUUCUCCGAAGAAGAAGAAGGAGAAGAAGGUAUAAUUUAGAUGCUUUCUAAAAAUAUACUCGAAGCACAAAUCAUUGAAGACGAUGUAGAUUCCUAGAAAACUGAAAAAUAUUCCGAGAUGAGUUUAAUACUCUUUUAGUAUUAAGGUACCGAUACAUAUACCAAUGUGCACACGUACACAGGCAAGUAAAUAAAUAAUUUCUCUAUAUAAAAUUAAUGUGGAAACGGGGUUCCCGUUUGAUGCGUCAUGGUUGCGUCAUUUACGGAACGAGAAGAGGUGGUGGCACUUGAAUUAGUUGAAAAAAAAUCGCAUAAUCCAAAGUUUUGGCAUCUCUUUUUAGGCACGUGCCUAAUCGUCCAACUACCGAUUGUCAGACUUAAUCGACACACCUUACUUGUACAUCAAACAGUUUAGCCAAAGUUCUUGGCCCAAAAUGUUUACUUAGCCAGGAAGACUAGAAUCUCUUUGCCAACUUGCAUAACUUUUGACAAAGCGUCGCGGAUUAUGCGAUCUAUGUGUUACACGCUUAAAACGCUUCAACUAUUUUAUGAAUGAAUUUCAAUCGGCCGUACAGAGAAAGAGAGAGAUAUAUAAAUUUAUUUUCUUUAAAAUAAUUCAAUAUUCUUAUUGAUUAAGGAGUUGUAAGAUGAUUAAACAAUUGGAUCGUUUAAGAGUAAUAUUAAUUUGAAAAUAAGUUUACGUUUUGAUAGAAGAAACGAAA